Molecule: ribosomal RNA, 460 nt
Filed under: uncultured bacterium
Lineage: Bacteria
Description: partial 16S ribosomal RNA
Rfam family: Bacterial small subunit ribosomal RNA
Source: RNAcentral
CCUACGGGAGGCAGCAGUGAGGAAUAUUGGUCAAUGGGCGAAAGCCUGAACCAGCCAAGUCGCGUGAGGGAUGACGGCCCUACGGGUUGUAAACUUCUUUUGUCAGGGAGCAAUUGGGUCCACGUGUGGGCUUAGCGAGAGUACCUGAAGAAAAAGCAUCGGCUAACUCCGUGCCAGCAGCCGCGGUAAUAAGGAGGAUGCGAGCGUUAUCCGGAUUUAUUGGGUUUAAAGGGUGCGUAGGCGGAAUAUCAAGUCAGCGGUAAAAAUUCGGGGCUCAACCCCGACGUGCCGUUGAAACUGAUGUUCUUGAGUGGGCGAGAAGUAUGCGGAAUGCGUGGUGUAGCGGUGAAAUGCAUAGAUAUCACGCAGAACUCCGAUUGCGAAGGCAGCAUACCGGCGCCCAACUGACGCUGAAGCACGAAAGCGUGGGUAGCGAACAGGAUUAGAUACCCCAGUAGUC